This 19-nucleotide small nuclear RNA is filed under the name Arabidopsis thaliana (thale cress). RNAcentral describes it as "snRNA_01135". The record is from RNAcentral. Lineage: Eukaryota; Viridiplantae; Streptophyta; Magnoliopsida; Brassicales; Brassicaceae.
UGUCCUGGUCACGCUGAUU